GACGAACGCUGGCGGCGUGCUUAACACAUGCAAGUCGAACGGAAAGGCCCUGCUUUUGUGGGGUGCUCGAGUGGCGAACGGGUGAGUAACACGUGAGUAACCUGCCCUUGACUUUGGGAUAACUUCAGGAAACUGGGGCUAAUACCGGAUAGGAGCUCCCGCUGCAUGGUGGGGGUUGGAAAGUUUCGGCGGUUGGGGAUGGACUCGCGGCUUAUCAGCUUGUUGGUGGGGUAGUGGCUUACCAAGGCUUUGACGGGUAGCCGGCCUGAGAGGGUGACCGGCCACAUUGGGACUAAGAUACGGCCCAGACUCCUACGGGAGGCAGCAGUGGGGAAUAUUGCACAAUGGGCGGAAGCCUGAUGCAGCAACGCCGCGUGCGGGAUGACGGCCUUCGGGUUGUAAACCGCUUUCGCCUGUGACGAAGCGUGAGUGACGGUAAUGGGUAAAGAAGCACCGGCUAACUACGUG
Molecule: ribosomal RNA, 468 nt
Filed under: uncultured bacterium
Lineage: Bacteria
Description: partial 16S ribosomal RNA
Rfam family: Bacterial small subunit ribosomal RNA
Source: RNAcentral